Molecule: ribosomal RNA, 262 nt
Filed under: uncultured Oscillospiraceae bacterium
Lineage: Bacteria; Bacillati; Bacillota; Clostridia; Eubacteriales; Oscillospiraceae
Description: partial 16S ribosomal RNA
Rfam family: Bacterial small subunit ribosomal RNA
Source: RNAcentral
AAUCUGGAUCACCAUCUAGUGGCGGACGGGUGAGUAACGCGUGAGGAACCUGCCUUUCAGUGGGGGACAACAUUUGGAAACGAAUGCUAAUACCGCAUAAGACCACAGUGUCGCAUGGCAUUUAUAUCAAAGAUUUAUCGCUGAAAGAUGGCCUCGCGUCUGAUUAGCUAGUUGGUGAGGUAACGGCCCACCAAGGCGACGAUCAGUAGCCGGACUGAGAGGUUGAACGGCCACAUUGGGACUGAGAUACGGCCCAGACUCC